Molecule: long non-coding RNA, 454 nt
Organism: Pseudoliparis swirei
Lineage: Eukaryota; Metazoa; Chordata; Actinopteri; Perciformes; Liparidae
Exons: 3
Source: RefSeq, a predicted model, not a curated record
UGUGUCUCAUGUCUAGGAGUCCUCUAUCAGGACUAAGGUCUAACAAGACCAGCACAGAGAUGAGUCCUCUAUCAGCACUAAGGUCUAACAAGACCAGUACAGAGAUGAGUCCUCUAUCAGCACUAAGGUCUAACAAGACCAGUACAGAGAUGAGUCCUCUAUCAGGACUAAGGUCUAACAAGACCAGCACAGAGAUGAGUCCUCUAUCAGCACUAAGGUCUAACAAGACCAGUACAGAGAUGAGUCCUCUAUCAGGACUAAGGUCUAACUAGACCAGUACAGAGAUGAGUCCUCUAUCAGGACUAAGGUCUAACAAGACCAGGACAGAGAUGAGUCCUCUAUCAGCACUAAGGUCUAACAAGACCAGUACAGAGAUGAGUCCUCUAUCAGCACUAAGGUCUAACAAGACCAGUACAGAGAUGAGUCCUCUAUCAGGACUAAGGUCUAACAAGAC